This 5298-nucleotide long non-coding RNA is filed under the name Cucumis sativus (cucumber). Its description in RNAcentral is "long non-coding RNA (CSAT_LNC000178)". The record is from RNAcentral. Lineage: Eukaryota; Viridiplantae; Streptophyta; Magnoliopsida; Cucurbitales; Cucurbitaceae.
CCAGACUCGGUUUCUUGGUUCCGUCCCAAAACGCCGAAGAAAGGCACAAUGGCCUAGAAAGGGAUAGUCGGACUUGGAACGGGGUCCGAGGCCUCGAAAGUCCACAUCUAGCUACUGGGUGGUCCGAUUCUGAGUGAUCUCGAACUUUCUUGUCCACAAAAGCCGAACGGUGACGCCCCAGACUCGGUUUCUUGGUUCCGUCCCAAAACGCCGAAGAAAGGCACAAUGGCCUAGAAAGGGACGGUCGGACUUGGAACGGGGUCCGAGGCCUCGAAAGUCCACAUCAAGCUACUGGGUGGUCCGAUUCUGAGUGAUCUCGAAGUUUCUAGCCACAAAAGCCGAACGGUGACGCCCCAGACUCGGUUUUUUGGUUCCGUCCCAAAACGCCGAAGAAAGGCACAAUGGCCUAGAAAGGGACGGUCGGACAUGGAACGGGGUCCGAGGCGUCGAAAGUCCACAUCUAGCUACUGGGUGGUCCGAUUCCGAGUGAUCUCGAAGUUUCUUGCCCACAAAAGCCGAACGGUGCGCCCCAGACUCGGUUUCUUGGUUCCGUCCCGAAACGCCGAAGAAAGGCACAAUGGCCUCGAAAGGGACGGUCGGACUUGGAACGGGGUCUGAGGCCUCGAAAGUCCACAUCUAGCUACUUGGUGGUCCGAUUCUGAGUGAUCUCGAAGUUUCUUGCCCAGAAAAGCCGAACGGUGUCGCCCUAGACUCGGUUUCUUGGUUCCGUCCCAAAACGCCGAAGAAAGGCACAAUGGCCCAGUAAGGGACGGUCGGACUAGGAACGGGGUCCGAGGCCUCGAAAGUCCACAUCUAGCUACUGGGUGGUCCGAUUCUGAGUGAUCUCGAAGUUUCUUGCCCACAAAAGCCGAACGGUGACGCCCCAGACUCGGUUUCUUGGUUUUGUCCCAUAACGCCGAAGAAAGGCACAGUGGCCUAGAAAGGGACGGUCGGACUUGGAACGGGGUCCUAGGCCUCGAAAGUCCACAUCUAGCUACUUGAUGGUCCGAUUCUGAGUGAUCUCGAAGUUUCUUGGCCACAAAAGCCGAACGGUGACGCCCCAGACUCGGUUUCUUGGUUCCGUACCAAAACGCCGAAGAAAGGCACAGUGGCCUAGAAAGGGACGGUCGGACUUGGAACGGGGUCCGAGGCCUCGAAAGUCCACAUCUAGCUACUGGGUGGUCCGAUUCUGAGUUAUCUCGAAGUUUCUUGCGCACAAAAACCAAACGGUGACGCCCCAGACUCGGUUUCUUGGUUCCUUCCGAAAACGCCGAAGAAAGACACAAUGGCCUAGAAAGGGACGGUCGGACUUGGAACGCAGUCCGGGGCCUCGAAAGUCCACAUCUAGCUACUGGGUGGUCCGAUUCUGAGUGAUCUCGAAGUUUCUUGCCCACAAAAGCCGAACGGUGUCGCCCCAGACUCGGUUUCUUGGUUCCGUCCCAAAACGUCGAAGAAAGGCACAUUGGCCUAGAAAGGGACGGUCGGACUUGGAACGGUGUCCGAGGCCUCGAAAGUCCACAUCUAGCUACUCCGUGGUCCGAUUCUGAGUGAUCUCGAAGUUUCUUGCCCACAAAAGGCGAACGGUGACGCCCCAGACUCGGUUUCUUGGUUCCGUCCAAAAACGCCGAAGAAAGGGACAAUGGCCUAGAAAGGGACGGUCGGACUUGGAACGCGGUCCGAGGCCUCGAAAGUCCACAUCUAACUACCGGGUGGUCCGAUUCUGAGUGAUCUCGAAGUUUCUUGCCCACAAAAGCUGAACGGUGACGCCCCAAACUCGGUUUCUUGGUUCCGUCCCAAAACGCCGAAGAAAGGCACAAUUUCCUAGAAAGGGACGAUCGGACUUGGAACGGGUCCGAGGCCUCGAAAGUCCACAUCUAGCUACUGGGUGGUCCGAUUCUGAGUGAUCUCGAAGUUUCUUGCCCACAAAAGCCGAACGGUGACGCCCCAGACUCGGUUUCUUGGUUCCGUCCCAAAACGCUGAAGAAAGGCACAAUGGCCUAGAAAGGGACGGUCGGACUUGGAACGAGGUCCGAGGCCUCGAAAGUACACAUGUAGCUACUGGGUGGUCUGAUUCUUAGUGACCUUGAAGUUUCUUAACCACAAAAGCCGAACGGUGACGCCCCAGACUCGGUUUCUUGGUUCCCUCCCAAAACGCCGAAGAAAGGCACAAUGGCCUAGAAAGGGACGGUCGGACUUGGAACGGGGUCCGAAGCCUCGAAAGUCCACAUGUAGCUACUGGGUGGUCCGAUUCUUUGUGAUCUCGAAGUUUCUUGACCACAAAAGCCGAACGGUGACGCCCAGACUCGGUUUCUUGGUUCCGUCCCAAAACGCCGAAGAAAAGCACAAUGGCCUAGAAAGGGACGGUCGGACUUGGAACGGGGUCCGAGGCCUCGAAAGUCCACAUCUAGCUACUGGGUGGUCUGAUUCUUUGUGAUCUCGAAGUUUCUUGCCCACAAAAGCCGAACGGUGACGCCCAGACUCGGUUUCUUAGUUCCGUCCCAAAACGCCGAAGAAAGGCACAAUUUCCUAGAAAGGGACGGUCGGACUUGGAACGGGGUCCGAGGCCUCGAAAGUCCAUAUCUAGCUACUGGGUGGUCCGAUUCUGAGUGAUCUCGAAGUUUCUUGCCCACAAAAGCCGAACGGUGACGCCCGAGACUCGGUUUCUUGGUUCCGUCCCAAAACGCCGAAGAAAAGCACAAUGGCCUAGAAAGGGACGGUCGGACUUGGAACGGGGUCCGAGGCCUCGAAAGUCCACAUCUAGCUACUGGGUGGUCUGAUUCUUUGUGAUCUCGAAGUUUCUUGCCCACAAAAGCCGAACGGUGACGCCCCAGACUCGGUUUCUUGGUUCCGUCCCAAAACGCCGAAGAAAGGCACAAUGGACUAGAAAGAGACGGUCGGACUUGGAACGGGGUCCGAGGCCUCAAAAGUCCACAUCUAGCUACUGGGUGGUCCGAUUCUUUGUGAUCUCGAAGUUUCUUGCCCACAAAAGCCGAACGGUGACGCCCCAGACUCGGUUUCUUGGUUCCGUCACAAAACGCCGAAGAAAGGCACAAUGGCCUAGAAAGGGACGGUCGGACUUGGAACGGGGUCCGAGGCCUCGAAAGUCCACAUCUAGCUACUGGGUGGUCCGAUUCUUUGUGAUCUCGAAGUUUCUUGCCCACAAAAGCCGAACGGUGACGCCCCAGACUCGGUUUCUUGGUUCCAUCCCAAAACGCGGAAGAAAGGCACAAUGGCCUAGAAAGGGACGGUCGGACUUGGAACGGGGUCCGUUGCCUCGAAAGUCCACAUCUAGCUACUGGGUGGUCCGAUUCUGAGUGAUCUCGAAGUUUCUUGCCCACAAAAGCCGAACGGUGACGCCUAGACUCGGUUUCUUGGUUUCGUCCCAAAACGCCGAAGAAAGGCACAGUGGCCUAGAAAGGGACGGUCGGACUUGGAACGGGGUCUGAGGCCUCGAAAGUCCACAUCUAGCUACUGGGUGGUCCGAUUCUUUGUGAUCUCGAAGUUUCUUGCCCACAAAAGCCGAACGGUGACGCCCAGACUCGGUUUCUUGGUUCCGUCCCAAAACGCCGAAAAAAGGCACAAUGGCCUAGAAAGGGACGGUCGGACUUGGAACGGGGUCCGAGGCCUCGAAAGUCCACAUCUAGCUACUGGUGGUCCGAUUCUUUGUGAUCUGGAAGUUUCUUGCCCACAAAAGCCGAACGGUGAUGCCCGAGACUCGGUUUCUUGGUUCCGUCCCAAAACGCCGAAGAAAGGCACAAUGGCCUAGAAAUGGACGGUCCGACUCGGAACGGGGUCCGAGGCCUCGAAAGUCCACAUCUAGCUACUGGGUGGUUCGAUUCAGAGUGAUCUCGAAGUUUCUUGCUCACAAAAGCCGAACGGUGACACCCCAGACUCGGUUUCUUGGUUCCGUCCCAAAACGCCGAAGAAAGGCACAAUGGCCUAGAAAGGGACGAUCGGACUUGGAACGGGGUCCGAGGCCUCGAUAGUCCACAUCUAGCUACUAGGUGGUCCGAUUCUUUGUGAUCUUGAAGUUUCUUGCCCACAAAAGCCGAACGGUGACGCCCCAGACUCGGUUUCUUGGUUUCGUCCCAAAACGCCGAAGAAAGGCACAAUGGCCUAGAAAGGGACGGUCGGACUUGGAACGGGGUCCGAGGCCUCGAAAGUCCACAUCUAGCUACUGGGUGGUCCGAUUCUUUGUGAUCUCGAAGUUUCUUGCACACAAAAGCCGAACGGUGACGCCCCAGACUCGGUUUCUUGGUUCCGUCCCAAAACGCCGAAGAAAGGCACAAUGGCCUAGAAAGGGACGGUCGGACUCGGAACGGGGUCCGAGGCCUCGAAAGUCCACAUCUAGCGACUGGGUGGUCCGAUUCAGAGUGAUCUCGAAGUUUCUUGCCCACAAAAGCCAAACGGUGACUCCCCAGACUCGGUUUCUUGGUUCCGUCCCAAAACGCCGAAGAAAGGCACAAUGGCUUAGAAAGGGACGGUCGGACUUGGAACGGGGUCCGAGGCCUCGAAAGUCCACAUCUAGCUACUGGGUGGUCCGAUUCUUUGUGAUCUCGAAGUUUCUUGCCCACAAAAGCCGAACGGUGACGCCCGAGACUCGGUUUCUUGGUUCCGUCCCAAAACGCCGAAGAAAGGCACAAUGGCCUAGAAAGGGACGGUCGGACUUGGAACGGGGUCCGAGGCCUCGAAAGUCCACAUCUAGCGACUGGGUGGUCCAAUUCAGAGUGAUCUCGAAGUUUCUUGCCCACAAAAGCCGAACGGUGACGCCCCAGACUCGGUUUCUUGGUUCCGUCCCAAAACGCCGAAGAAAGGCACAAUGGCCUAGAAAGGGACGGUUGGACUUGGAACGGGGUCCGAGGCCUCGAAAGUCCACAUCUAGCUACUAGGUGGUCCGAUUCUUUGUGAUCUUGAAGUUUCUUGCCCACAAAAGCCUAACGGUGACGCCCCAGACUCGGUUUCUUGGUUUCGUCCCAAAACGCCGAAGAAAGGCACAAUGGCCUAGAAAGGGACGGUCGGACUUGGAACGGGGUCCGAGGCCUCGAAAGUCCACAUCUAGCUACUGGGUGGUCCGAUUCUUUGUGAUCUCGAAGUUUCUUGCCCACAAAAGCCGAACGGUGACGCCCAGACUCGGUUUCUUGGUUCCGUCCCAAAACGCCGAAGAAAGGCACAAUGGCCUAGAAAGGGACGGUCGGACUCGGAACGAGGUCCGAGGACUCGAAAGUCCACAUCUAGCUACUGAGUGGUCCGAUUCUGAGUGAUCUCGAAGUUUCUUGCCCACAAAAGCCGAACGGUGAC